CACGUAGGGUGCGAGCGUUUGUCCGGAAUUAUUGGGCGUAAAGGGCUCGUAGGCGGUCUGUCGCGUCGGGAGUGAAAACUCAGGGCUUAACCCUGAGCCUGCUUCCGAUACGGGCAGACUAGAGGUAUGCAGGGGAGAACGGAAUUCCUGGUGUAGCGGUGAAAUGCGUAGAUAUCAGGAGGAACACCUGUGGUGUAGACGGCUUUCUGGACCAUAGCUGACGCUGAGACACGAAAGCGUGGGGAGCGAACAGG
RNAcentral lists this ribosomal RNA (254 nucleotides) under uncultured bacterium. Its description in RNAcentral is "partial 16S ribosomal RNA". It matches the Rfam family "Bacterial small subunit ribosomal RNA", at positions 524 to 776 of the family's 1533-position model. The record is from RNAcentral.